GAUUAAAGUAAAUAAGGGCACACAAGGGAUGCCUAGGUAGUAGAGCCGAAGAAGGACCUGGUAAAGCUGCGAUAAGCUUGGUGAAAUUGCAAACGAACUGUAUACCAAGAUUUCCGAAUGGAGCAAUCUGUAAAGAGUCAUGUCUUUACACGAAAGAGGGAACCGGGUGAACUGAAACAUCUAAGUAACCCGAGGAAAAGAAAGUAACAACGAUACCCUAAGUAGCGGCGAGCGAACGGGGUAGAGCCUAAACCAUAUUCAUGUCAAGGAUGCAGCCGUUGUGGAUAUGGGGUANCGGGAAAGAGAAUGGAAGAACUGCAAGAUAUUCCGCAGAGUCAAGCAAAAGAACAAGAAAGAUCUGGAAAGGUCUACCGAAGAAGGUGAAAGUCCUGUAUUGGUACAUUGCUUGCGCUGUUUCUCUUCUCCCAAGUAAUGUGGAACACGAGGAAUUCUGCAUGAAUCAGCGAGGACCAAAUCUCGUAAGGCUAAAUACUCU
Molecule: ribosomal RNA, 496 nt
Filed under: Fusobacterium gonidiaformans
Lineage: Bacteria; Fusobacteriati; Fusobacteriota; Fusobacteriia; Fusobacteriales; Fusobacteriaceae
Description: bacterial LSU rRNA
Rfam family: Bacterial large subunit ribosomal RNA
Source: RNAcentral